GAUGAAGAACGUAGUGAAAUGCGAUAAGUAGUGUGAAUUGCAGAAUUCCGUGAAUCAUCGAAUCUUUGAACGCACAUUGCGCCCCUUGGUAUCCCGAGGGGCAUGCCUGUUCGAGCGUCAUUUCACCACUCAAGCCUGGCUUGGUGUUGGGCGACGUCCUCUUUGGGGACGCGCCUCGAAACGCUCGGCGGCGUGGCACCGGCUUUAAGCGUAGCAGAAUCUUUCGCUUUGGAAGUCGGGGCCCCGUCUGCCGGAAGACCUGCUCGCAAGGUUGACCUCGGAUCAGGCAGGGAUACCCGCUGAACUUAAGCAUAUCAAUAAGCGGAGGA
This 329-nucleotide unclassified non-coding RNA is filed under the name soil metagenome. RNAcentral describes it as "partial contains 5.8S ribosomal RNA, internal transcribed spacer 2, and large subunit ribosomal RNA". The stretch from base 1 to 120 matches the Rfam family "5.8S ribosomal RNA", at positions 35 to 154 of the family's 154-position model. The record is from RNAcentral.